This 247-nucleotide unclassified non-coding RNA is filed under the name Melitaea cinxia (Glanville fritillary). RNAcentral describes it as "misc RNA ENSMCXG00005009593.1". The record is from RNAcentral. Lineage: Eukaryota; Metazoa; Arthropoda; Insecta; Lepidoptera; Nymphalidae.
UGGAACUGUAAUUUUGUAUAUAUUGUAUUUAUAAUAAUUGUUUUAUUAACACUUUUUACUGAUUGAUAUAAUGUUUUACAAGUUCAAGAGCGUUUAAAUUGUUUUAAUGUGUGUAUACGUUAAUGUAAGCGCACUUUUUUUGUUGAUAGCACUUUCAUCUUUAAAAAGAAGGUUGUAAGGAUUGUUAUCGCUCGAACUUGGGUGAGUUUGGAAGAUGGUACGAAUAAAUUGUUUCUUGUAGUUGUAA